This 2024-nucleotide long non-coding RNA is filed under the name Homo sapiens (human). RNAcentral's name for it is "HSALNT0380278". The record is from RNAcentral. Lineage: Eukaryota; Metazoa; Chordata; Mammalia; Primates; Hominidae.
GGGCCUGACCGUGCCUGAGUAAGCCCCAUGGGAACACAGCCGUGGUGGGAAGCAGCUUCCCAGCAGCCCUCCCCGCCAUCGGGAGAAUCCCCUGAGGCCAUGAGAGGGUCUCAGGGAGGUGGACGGCCCAUCAAGUGAGAACCGAGGGCACUGUGCACUCCUGAAUCCUAGGACUCCUCUUAGGUCAUUGACUAACAACAUCAACAAUGAAAUGAAUCUGAGAAAACAGGAAAUUGAGAGCAAGAGAAAAAAAAGUUAAUUAUACUGAUUUUGUAUAAGACCCCUUUGAACACAUUUUUAAAAAAUCAAAUAGAAGGUGCCCAGGUCCACUGUGCCUUGUGAAUAUUUGUCUUGUAUAUCCUAGAGAUCUACGCAUUCAUGUGGGAAUUGAAAAGGACCCACAUUUUACUAGAAGCAUCGUUCAUUUUUGCCUCAAAACAAUGCCCACAUGUCAGAAGAACUUUCACAAUUCACAGGAACAGUGACCUAAUUAACCAACCAUAAAAUUGCCAAAUCCCUACUUCUCAUUGUUUAAUAUGCUUAGAAAACCCAUUCAAAUUGUGAAUUAUCAAGUGAGCUUACACUGAUAAAUAGAUCCAAUAUUUAGGAAUUUUUAAAUCUUCCAUUCCUUUUUUUUUUUUGUCUUUUUAAAAAUAGAACAUUAGAAUAUGUCCUCCAGGUUUUAGAGAUGGGGGAGACAUGCUUCCCUUUAUUUCUCAGUAACUCAGCCAAAAAAAAUCUGGAGAGAAUGCAAAGACAGCUACUGGAAACUUUGAAAAGUAGAUGUGAGCCCAUCAGGGAAGAGCUAGAGAAUCUGAAAUCUACUCGAAAAAGUGAGUUUGAUACUUUGUGUUCCUAUCCUAACUCCACACAGCCUGAAACUUGGAAGUGAGCAUGAUGGAGUGGAUACAGUGAGAUGCAGAAGAAAUCCUCCAGUUUGGGCUGGAAGGGAAAAAAGAGACCCCUAAAACUCAGAGACAGUGGAAGAAAUUCCUGGUGUUUUUUUCUUCUCUUUUUCUCUGUUCUUCCACAUAGCAAUUUAGUAUUGACUACAGCAUCUCUGUUACAAUGAUAGCACCGAAAUGUUGUAACCAUAUGGCCUGCAAAGCCAAAAAUACUUAUCUGACCAUCUACAGGAAAAGUUUGCUGAUCUGGAUGAAAUAUUCUGAUACUAAAUAUUCCAUUUUGAGGCUGAUAUUCCUAAUCUAUUCAUAAGGAUGGCAUAUCUACCCAGUGGGCCUGCUGGGACUCCAGUUACCCGAUGCACAUACAUUGCUUGGUGUGGCAGUUUCGUGUGCAUUUUUGGUGAUGAUGCUCCACGGAACAUCUGCAGAUGUGCUGUCAAUUUGGACAGCUCUGACUACCGAGUGAAUGGGAAGUACUAACGAGAACUGUCUGCUUGGGAACUCCAUGAAGUUCGUGGCUUUUGUGAUUGAAAUAGCAUCAAUAAAAGGUUGACACUGUGGAACAACACAAGCCUGCAUGGACCUGGUUAUCUCUGACCUCGCACCACUCAUGAGACCAUACCUGAGCCCUACUCCACUUUGGCAGAACUGUUGCAUGGCCUCUCUUCAUAUAAUACCUCUCCGUACACCGUACACCGCAGCUCAAAGAAAGGAUAUAUGCUCCCUGUGAAGACUAAUGGAACUGUCCCUCCUGAUCCUCCUACAGACUUCCUCUGGCCUAAUGGGUGCACCAUUGCAUUAUAUCUGCCAUCUAUACACACAUAUACCUUUCAACCCUGCACUCUCUGAGAUGACUGGACUCAUGCCUAAAUAACUGAUGCUGUCCCUAGUGUAAGUUACGUAAGAUGAGCCUGCUUCCCCUUUGCCUUCCACAGUGAUUGUAUGUUUCCUGAGGCCUCCCCAGCCAUGCUUCCUACACAGCCUGAAGAACAGAGAGCCAAUUAAACCUCUUUUCUUUAUAAAUUACCCAGUCUCAGGUAGUUCUUUACAGAGGUGCAAGAACAGACUAAUACAGCUGUCCAUUUGAUCAUAAAAUAUCUCUCUUUUUUUUUUUUUUUU